Molecule: long non-coding RNA, 623 nt
Filed under: Homo sapiens (human)
Lineage: Eukaryota; Metazoa; Chordata; Mammalia; Primates; Hominidae
Description: HSALNT0115485
Source: RNAcentral
UCUGUUGGCAUGUGACCUUGGACUUCCCUGCCUCCAGACCUCACAGGUCUACCAUGUGCAAAGCACUGUACCAGCACUGAGGACCCAAAGAAGAACAUGAAGAUUAAAAGGAGCAAGAUACAAUCACCAGCUCAAGAAGCUUAUAAUUUGGGGUAGGGCACAGACCAGUAAAUAGACAAUUACAGAGCAAUAUAAUAGAAGAAAACACAGUGUUAUGAGGCAAACAUAAGGACCACUAACUGAAGAUUCAUUACAUCAUUUUCUGUCAUCCUAGAUGUAUUCAAGAUGUAAUUCUCUUAGAGUAUUAAGUUAAUGUAAAAAACGCAUCAUUGUGACCUUCAAUCUAGAAGAUGUAGGGCAAAAUUAGGCUGGAGCAUCUUUUUCUCCUGUGACAUUAUACAUCUGAUUUCACUGAAAUAUGGUACACAAUUACUGGAAACGAGUGCCUGUAAAAGUCCAUAAAACCAAGUGACUUUUCAAGAUAUAACAAAGGUAAAAGGCUACUGGCAUCACUGUCUAUGAAUCAUCUCAUUAUCAAUAUUCUAGACUUUGAAGUGAAAUAAUAAAAAGUUUACUUAAAGCAACAGCAUCAAAUAAUUAAGCAAUUCUUUCGUAUUUAAUAC